Molecule: ribosomal RNA, 253 nt
Filed under: uncultured bacterium
Lineage: Bacteria
Description: partial 16S ribosomal RNA
Rfam family: Bacterial small subunit ribosomal RNA
Source: RNAcentral
UACGUAGGGACCGGGCGUUGUCCGGAUUCAUUGGGCGUAAAGAGCUCGUAGGCGGCCACUCAAGUCGAAUGUGAAACCUCGAGGCUCAACCUCGAGCCUGCAUUCGAUACUGGGCGGCUAGAGUCUGGUAGGGGGAUCUGGAAUUCCUGGUGUAGCGGUGGAAUGCGCAGAUAUCAGGAGGAACACCGGUGGCGAAGGCGGGAUCCUGGGCCAGUACUGACGCUGAGGAGCGAAAGCGUGGGGAGCAAACAGG